Pongo pygmaeus (Bornean orangutan) is the source of this 924-nucleotide long non-coding RNA. RefSeq lists it as uncharacterized. The record is from RefSeq and is a predicted model, not a curated record. NCBI's taxonomy places the organism in Eukaryota, Metazoa, Chordata, Mammalia, Primates, Hominidae. The transcript has 3 exons.
ACAACAUCCACUGCCACUGAAGAAGUUGGUCUAUUCUGAGGUGGCCAUGAUGGAAGGAAGCCCAAGCUAGCCAAAGGAAGAAGCCAUGUAGAGACAGAGUGCAAUGUCAACUACCCUCCAGCUAUUCCAGUUUUCUCAGCCUUGGUGCUAGUCAUUUAAGCCAUGACCUGAUGAUACGUCCAACAGUUUGCCUAUCAGACAGCUCUGCCAACCUGCAAGUUCCAGAAAGGCAAGCGCAGCGUGUUAUCCACAUCUUCAGCAAUACGUGGUAAUAUGGUAAAAUACUUUGGAGGAACUGGAUGCAUUUUUCCUCUGGUCUCCAGAGAAGAAACUGAGACAACAGUAAGUUACAGAUUCAAGCUGUGUUCAUAAUGUGUUUCCACGUGGAGGUCACACUGUCAUGUUCACGGGCAGAUGAAUUCUAACACCAAACACCAGGCUGAAUAGGUGUUCCCAUUGCAAGAGAAGCGCUGUGCACGAUUUUUAUUCGUAUUUCAAAACCCUAACAAAUGGCCACAAUCAACUACUACAAAUUUCUCCUGAUUAGUUUUAGUCUGCCCUUCUGUCACCUUUAGGAGAGAGCCAGAGAUUUCAACCUGCAAAAUUACCAGCAAUGCACGUCAGAAAGCAUUUCAAAGAAGAGUCAAAGUGCGUGUGGAAACUAAUUGCUGUAUCUGAAAGUGCUGUUUGAAGAGUUUUUCAGUCUUCAGAGAAGCAAGUCCCCACCCCUUGGGAAAACUAGUCUUCAAACUAAAAGUUUCCCCAAAUCAUAUACCUGAGAAAAAUGUUAAAACAGACUUACCCACAAAGGCAAAUAAAUAAAACUGUAAGAAUAAAUAAAUCAGAAAUCAGAUGUCUCUCCCCUGUUUAAAAUCCUCCAACAGCUUCCUACUUUAUUUGGAAUAAAACGCAAUUCCUUUACCA